RNAcentral lists this ribosomal RNA (199 nucleotides) under uncultured Carnobacteriaceae bacterium. Its description in RNAcentral is "partial 16S ribosomal RNA". It matches the Rfam family "Bacterial small subunit ribosomal RNA", at positions 141 to 334 of the family's 1533-position model. Lineage: Bacteria; Bacillati; Bacillota; Bacilli; Lactobacillales; Carnobacteriaceae. The record is from RNAcentral.
GGACAACAUUCGGAAACGGAUGCUAAUACCCCAUAGGUGGAUUGGUCGCAUGACGAAUUCAUUAAAGGUGGCUUUGCUACCACUCAUGGAUAGCCUCGCGGCGUAUUAGCUAGUUGGUAAGGUAAUGGCUUACCAAGGCAGUGAUACGUAGCCGACUUGAGAGGGUGAUCGGCCACACUGGGACUGAGACACGGCCCAG